AUGAAGUUCAUUUCACCUGAAGAAUGUGGAGGUACUGGACCAUUUAUGCAGGGGAAUACAUACUCUGGGAAUAUGAAUGAAGAACAUCAGUCUAACUUUGUGGCUAUCCAACAAACACAGAAACAGUCCCACCAGAUCACCAGCAGAAGAUACAUUUAAAAUGGGGUUAGUUGCGGAAGAAAGAAAGAAAGCAACCACAUGAAAAGGUGUAGUACUAAAUGGCACUUGUGCAAUCAAGUGAUGUAGUUGCCCUGAGGAUUGGCGCACAAUGGGCAUGAUUCAUGGAACAGUUAUUCCUGCACCAGGUGGUUAAAACUCUGUAAUGACAGGUUUACAAGGAAAUCAUCUUUUAUUUUUCUCACCACGUGUGUGAAUCAAUGGAUCUGCAAGAGGAAUCAUGAUUCUCAGUUACGUUAUAUUGGGAAUGCUGGGUCUGCUGGAAACAAGUUCGUCCCCUUCUCCAAGCAAGGGCAUUUCAGAAGACUGCCAAAACCUGCGCUAGUAUCAGAAUGGCACUGAAGAUACACCCUGCCCAAAGCACAAGCUUGCUCUUGGGAAUUCCAUGAAUGCUGUGCUGUUCUUCAUCUGCUCAGAAAGUUGAAAAAAUAUAUAAACCAAACAAUUAAAAAUAAGGAAAACCUUUCGUAGCAAUACUUGAGAUUUCUGCGUGGAAGCGGAGGGUCAAAGAUAGGCAACUUACCCAAAAAAAGAAUGGAAUGAAGAACUAGCUGAUAUUUCUCAGUGAUUAAACGAGGCAGAAAAGUAAAUUAAUUAAGGCCUACAUGCUGUAAGAACUCUGUAAAAAACAAAGCAAAACAAACAACCAGCUGUUGGUGCAGUACAAAUAUCUUUCCUGAUUUAUUUUUAAUUGUGAGAAGGAGAUGAGGGGGAGAAAGGCACUAACAGCCUUUGCCAAGCGUUCAGUGAUUCUCAUAUACCUGAUUCCCAGCUGCAUCUCACUCAUUAUCACUCUUGUGAGCAUAACACUUCUCUGCAAAUGCUCCAGCCACUUAGAUUUUUGAAGAGGGUUUUUCAACAAGGAUGGAAUGUGAUAAAUGCAAUUUAAACAAGGCACUUAAUAAACUUGUUUGUAUUAGAUUACA
This 1103-nucleotide long non-coding RNA is filed under the name Numida meleagris (helmeted guineafowl). RNAcentral's name for it is "lncRNA (ENSNMEG00000012860.1)". The record is from RNAcentral. Lineage: Eukaryota; Metazoa; Chordata; Aves; Galliformes; Numididae.